This is a long non-coding RNA of Aphis gossypii (cotton aphid), 553 nucleotides long. RefSeq lists it as uncharacterized. The record is from RefSeq and is a predicted model, not a curated record. The transcript is spliced from 2 exons. Lineage: Eukaryota; Metazoa; Arthropoda; Insecta; Hemiptera; Aphididae.
AUAAACCAAAAUAAUAUCUAUACUAUUGACACGGUACGCAACGGUCGCCAGUACAAAGUACAGGCACCGCAACGACCGGUCGGCACCUUAUCAACCGCCAUCACGGCCUACGACGAUACGACUUAGUUGUCUCUCCCACCAACGCUCCAAAGGCUAGACAGGACGGGAAGAAAAGUCGUACGGGACGAGUACGAGCCGCCGGCGAUCGCGGCUCUGCGACACGCAACGUCAACGCGACAACACGGUGUUAUGAUCUCCCGUGUUGUAAGAACGACGACCGACAAUCGUACCACGUUGGAUACACCAGCCCUCGUCCGACCACGGAGAUCGACCGAUCAUCAUCUCCGUCACCAGUACAUUAUAUCGACAACGGUUACAGCUCAACAGACGCCGACCAUACGCCUGCGAGGACGAUCUACAAUCAACCCUCCGCCAGGUAUGGUAAUUUGAAUACAAAUUAUAAGACUAAUCACAUUUAAAUUUAACCAGCUAUCAUCAUUUAUUUUUAAUUUAAAAAAAAAAACUUUGAAUAAAAACUCCCUAAUUUCUUACA